AUGUGGCCCCAACCCCGCCUCCCUCCCCACCCCGCGAUGUCAGAAAAAACACAACAGGGGAAAUUGGCCGCAGCCAAGAAAAAGUUAAAAGCAUAUUGGCAGAGGAAGAGCCCUGGCAUUCCAGCAGGAGCUAACAGGAAAAAGAAAAUCAAUGGCAGUAGCCCUGACACAGCCACUUCUGGUGGUUACCACUCACCUGGGGAUUCAGCAACAGGUAUCUACGGGGAGGGCCGUGCAUCCUCUACUACCCUGGAGGAUCUGGAGAGCCAGUACCAAGAACUAGCAGUGGCCCUGGAUUCAAGCUCCGCAAUAAUCAGUCAACUCACUGAAAACAUCAAUUCACUGGUUCGCACAUCUAAGGAGGAGAAGAAGCAUGAGAUACAUCUGGUACAGAAGCUUGGGAGGAGCUUGUUCAAACUCAAAAACCAGACGGCUGAACCCCUGGCCCCAGAGCCCCCAGCAGGGCCAUCUAAGGUAGAGCAGCUACAAGAUGAGACCAACCACCUAAGGAAGGAGCUAGAGAGUGUGGGAAGACAGCUCCAGGCUGAGGUGGAAAACAAUCAGAUGUUGAGUCUCCUGAACAGGAGACAGGAGGAGAGGCUACGUGAACAGGAGGAGAGGCUACGUGAACAGGAGGAGAGGCUACGUGAACAGGAGGAGAGGCUGUGUGAACAGGAGGAGAGGCUACGUGAACAGGAGGAGAGGCUACGUGAACAGGAGGAGAGGCUGUGUGAACAGGAGGAGAGGCUACGUGAACAUGAGGAGAGGCUGUGUGAACAGGAGGAGAGGCUGUGUGAACAGGAGGAGAGGCUACGUGAACAGGAGGAGAGGCUACAUGAACAGGAGGAGAGGCUGUGUGAACAGGAGGAGAGGCUACGUGAACAGGAGGAGAGGCUGUGUGAACAGGAGGAGAGGCUACGUGAACAGGAGGAGAGGCUGUGUGAACAGGAGGAGAGGCUACGUGAACAGGAGGAGAGGCUGUGUGAACAGGAGAAGCUGCCAGGGCAGGAGAGGCUGCUGGAAGAGGUGGAGAAGCUGUUAGAACAGGAGAGGCGGCAGGAGGAGCAGGAGAGGCUGCUGGAGAGGGAGAGGCUGCUGGAAGAGGUGGAGAAGCUGUUAGAACAGGAGAGGCGGCAGGAGGAGCAGGAGAGGCUGCUGGAGAGGGGGAGAGGGAGAGGCUGCUGGACGAGGUGGAGGAGCUCCUGGACGAGGUGGAGGAGCUCCUGGAGCAGGAGAGGCUUCGGCAACAGGAUGAGAGGCUGUGGCAGCAGGAGACUCUGCAGGAGCUGGAGAGGCUGCGGGAGCUGGAGAGGAUGCUGGAGCUGGGGUGGGAAGCCCUGUACGAGCAGCGGGCCGAGCCACGCAGCGGCUUCGAGGAGCUGAACAACGAGAACAAGAGCACACUGCAGUUGGAGCAGCAAGUAAAGGAGCUGAAGAAGUCGGGUGGAGCUGAAGAGCCAAGAGGCUCCGAGUCUGCAGCAGCAGCCAGACCAGUAGCUGGAGCCCCAGUCCCACAAGGAGCUUGGAUGUGCGGACAAGCAGGGUGGACUCCCCAGGAGCACCCAGGCUUGGGUGGAGAAGCUGUUGGUACAGGAGAGGCGGCAGGAGGAGCAGGAGAGGCUGCAUGCCAUUCUUUUCGGGCUGCCGAGAACAGGGAGCUAAACAUCACCAUCAUCUAA
RNAcentral lists this long non-coding RNA (1679 nucleotides) under Homo sapiens (human). Its description in RNAcentral is "non-protein coding lnc-PDE8A-3:1". The record is from RNAcentral. Lineage: Eukaryota; Metazoa; Chordata; Mammalia; Primates; Hominidae.